UUUAUCUUAAAUUUUAACUUUAAGUGGCUUUAAUAAGUCGUCCUAGAUUUGCACCAUCUCUGUCCCGAUCGAGUUCUGUCGUCGCAGCCUCCAUGGCCAGAGCUCGAGAUAGUGGAAUGGUAGCCUCCGUCACGUGUGAUAGCAGCAACAAUGUGGUCUUGGUGGAGAAGAUUUUUCAGAGCAACAACGGACAGAGCCGUCGAGGGAGAUUUAGGGUUUCGAUUAAGACAAUGAUUUGGAUUAUCAUGUGGAAUGAAUCGACGAUUUUAGCACCCUUGAAUGGUUGAGAUGACCGAACUCUGAGCGGCAAGACAUGAGGCUAAACAUCUCAACCUCGGUUAACUUGAUUUCGAGUCUGCUAAAAUUGGUCCGUGAAUUAGAGGUGGCCGAACUACGGAGAUACGCAUCAGGAUCGAGAGUUUCAAGAGGUAUUCUUCAAUAGAUCAAUUGGGUCUCUGUAUUAUUUUUUUUUUCAUUUUAUUCUCCUUUUUCUCUCUCCCUACUGUUUGAUGAGAGAGAGGGGGAGAUGGGGUUGAUUUUUAUUUUUUUAUUAUCUAAUCUCUCUGCUCUACUUUGGUUUGGUGUUAAGGUUGCAUUUUUCAAUUUCUUUAUCCUUGUCACAUUUUGGUGCAUUUUCAGCUAUACCAUGUUAAUGGCGGUGGUGCUACGACGGUGUUAAUGGAGGUGAUGUUACAGUAGUAUAAAUGGCGGUGGUGCAUGAAAUGAAUUUUAUGGUAAAUUCUUUUUAUUAGUUUCGUUUGUCUGUCAACAUUUUAUUGAUAACGAAGGGACCAUGAACUUAACCGGAUUCAGAAAAAAAGAGAAAAAUUUUUAAAAUUUUUAUUUUUUAUUUUGUAUUUUUAAAAAGAGAAAUAUUUUUAUUUUAUAGUUUUGUUUUUUUUAUUUGUAUUUUUAAUUGUGAAAUAUUGUUAUUUUGUAUUUUUUAAGAGAGAAAUAACUUUUUUAUUUUUGUAUUUUGAAAAAGAGAAAAAUAUUUUUAUCUUUUACUUUUCAAAUUUUUUUAUUUGUAUUUUGAAAAGAGAGAAAUACUUUUAUUUU
RNAcentral lists this long non-coding RNA (1059 nucleotides) under Panax ginseng (ginseng). RNAcentral's name for it is "long non-coding RNA (PGIN_LNC006432)". Lineage: Eukaryota; Viridiplantae; Streptophyta; Magnoliopsida; Apiales; Araliaceae. The record is from RNAcentral.